GACGAACGCUGGCGGCGUGCUUAACACAUGCAAGUCGAACGGAAAGGCCCUGCUUUUGCGGGGCGCUCGAGUGGCGAACGGGUGAGUAACACGUGAGUAACAUGUCCCUGACUUUGGGAUAACUUCUGGAAACUGGGGCUAAUACCCGAUAGGAGCUCCUGCUGCAUGGUGGUGGUUGGAAAGUUUCGGCGGUUGGGGAUGGACUCGCGGCUUAUGCGCUUGUUGGGCGGGUAGUGGCUUUCGAGGGUUUUGACGGAUAGCCGGCCUGAGAGGGUUACCGGCGACAUGAGGACUGAGAGAGGGACCAGACGCGUACGGGCGGCAGCAGUGGAGAAUCUUACACAAUGGGCGGACGCCUGUGGCAGCGACGCCGCGUGCGGGAUGACGGCUUACGGGGGGUAAACCACUUUGGCCGGAAACGAGCCGGGAGUGACGGUAAUGGGUAAGAAAGCAACGGCUAACUACGUG
Molecule: ribosomal RNA, 468 nt
Filed under: uncultured bacterium
Lineage: Bacteria
Description: partial 16S ribosomal RNA
Rfam family: Bacterial small subunit ribosomal RNA
Source: RNAcentral